This 85-nucleotide non-coding RNA is filed under the name Alexandrium minutum. Lineage: Eukaryota; Dinophyceae; Gonyaulacales; Pyrocystaceae. The record is from RNAcentral.
UUUUUUUUUUUUUUUUUUUUUUUUCCUCUCGAACAAAAAGCAAGGCUUGAUUGUGCGACCGCGCCCGAAGCACGGAAAACAAAAG